AGAUUAUAAUUCACUUUCUCUCUCAAAUAAUAAUUGGCGUAGUCCAUCUCUUCGUUCCUCCCGCAAUCGCAACCUCCUCCUCCUCCUCCUCCUCUUAACUCCCUAAAGACAAUAUCAGCAUAUUUAGUUGUAGUUGGAUCUGUAGUCGGCGGCACCUCUGCGAACCACUCUCCUCUGCUGCUAUUUUCGCUAAAUUAGGCCGGUAUCAACACGCUUCAUUGGAGAGAUGAUUUAUUGCUUAACCUGGAUAAGUGAUCUUUGGAAACAUGUUUUUUGUCAAUCCUUGGGUAGUAGUAGCGGGACUUCAAUCUCAAGUCUCCCAGAUGAUAUAAUCACGGAUAUUAUCGCUCGACUCUCCACUAAGAAUGUUUUAACAUGUAAAUUAGUUCAUUCACAAUGGCACCAGUUGUAUUCCACCCCAUAUUUUGCUGAAAUCCAUCUUGCUAAUGUUACUCCUAUCAUUUUAGUAGAAGAUAGAUGUAGGUGGACUAGGGUGAAAACAACAUUAUUAUUGGAAGGUUAUGGGAAGAAAUCAAAGUUAAAAAAAAUAUGCAUGAAAAAUUUGGAAAUAAUGAAUAAAUAUCGAUUUGGACUUUAUAAUUCUUGCAAUGGGUUCUUCUCUACAUGAAGUUGGAUAAAGAAUACAUUACUCCAAAGUAUCUGAUUUACAAUCCACUUACAAAAGAAAUUUUUUACUUCUGCGAAGAAAGAUGUAGGAUUUGGGGAUUCUUCUUUCAUCAAUUGGAAAGAGACUACAAGCUUCUAGUUUAUCGUUUCGACAAAAUUAAUCAAACAUGUCAUUAUUAUGUGUAUGGUUUUAAUACAAAGGAUAAGAGAAAGUUAGGAUCUUUUCCUUAUUAUCCUUUGUUGUUUAGUAAUCAUGCUGUUCUAGUGUGUGGAGCUCUGUUUUGGUUGGUUGCGGGCCUUAAAACAAAAGAAUGUUCCAAAUCUAUAAUGAUGUUUGAUUUGAAGUCGGAAAAUAUUCAUGUCAUGCCUCAUCCAGGACCUAGUUGUACACGUAGCUUUUAUCUAGAAAACUGGAAGCUACAUUACCAAAUGGUACUUUUGGAGAUAGAUGGGAGAUUAUCUUUGUCCAACGUAUGUAAGGAGACUGUUGAAGUAUGGAUUCUGGAAGACCUUGCUAAUUGGGUGUGGGUAAAAAAGUAUGCAGUAAACCUUGAUAUACCUUUUGACCAUGAUGCAUGUCAUUCCCAUCCGGUUGUGCUCUUCCAAAGUGGCAACCUUUUGUUAAAUUGGCCUGCUAGAGGGCCGUUCUGGUGUAACCUAAGCUUGAACUAUCUUUGUAAAAUUAAAUUAGAUCUUAAUAAAGUGGACAGUGAUUUUGUUUUUUAUGCUACCCAAUACACCAGCAACUUUGGCUCCCUGAGAGGCUCCAACAUAUUUUACGAUUCCUUUAAAAGUUGUGACAUAUUUCCUAGUUGCUCUACUAGUCUGUGACAUUGCCUCCCCCGCUUCUCUAGCCCUUUUAAAAGCUUUACUGUUUCCAGUGCUAGUUUGCUGAGUGUGUGCCUUAUGAACACUACUCUUCAAGUGCUGCUUUUUUACCUUUUUUAAAAAAAUUAUUUUCUUCUGCCUUUUCCUCCUCACCACAUCUCCUCUCUUUUUCUUUCUUUCAUCCUCCGUAAUCUUGAUCUCAAUCUUAAUCUAUACACCCUAGGUUUUCCUUUUUUCCUCUUAGAUCCCAUCUUAAUCUACAUUUUCCCUCACCCCCUUUUAUCUCAAUCCACAAACCAUCCGUUUUCAGGUAUCCUAAUCAAUCUCAAUCCACAUACCAUAGGUUUUCAGAUAUCGUAAAUCUCACUUGUUAUUAUCGGAGAAAAUGGUUACUAAGUUGAACAGGCAAAAUUGGAUGGCGCAAAGUUGAAGAAAUUAGACUUUCAAGUGCUGCACGGGGGAUGAGGUAUUUGCGAGUAUCAUCUUCGUUAACUUUUCCUUGGUGCGUAAUUCUCUCACAUCUCUGUAUUUGCUCUUUUUUUUCCUUCUUUAACUAUUGCUGAUUAUUUGUGAUGUUUAGAUUUUGAAGCUUGAAUGUUGAGUGUGGGUUUUAAAUACUUAACUCCCAUCUAUCACUCUUCUGAAGUUUAGGCAGGCGACAUCAGGUGUAUCAAUUUGUAUUUGGUACUUCACUGAUGCGAAUCAAGUUCAAAAAUGUCUGAAUCGACACUUGAAUCAUCUCCGUUAUUUGUAAAUAGUUAUCUCUCUCUUACUAUGUCGCUAUAUAUCACUUUUUUGCUUAGUUUUGAUGGGUUUUAAUAUUGUAUUUCGCCAUUAAUAGUGCAGGCAUGUUCCUUGGCCAAAUUAUAUCACCAGAGAAAGGUAUCAAAUUGAAGACUGUGGUCUGUGGUUGGCCAGUGGGGAAUUUAGCUUAUGACUGUACUCUUAAUAUUUUGACUGGCCGGACUCACCAGAUUCACAGCUGCUCCAUGAGUGGAUAUUUCAUUGUGGGCCAAUUGGAACAUUGGAUUCCAGAAGAUGGUUUAGAAAAAAUUAGAACAUCGUGAUGCAGUAAUUUACAACUGAAGUAUCCAUCAACAGCCAAGAUGUUUUGCUUAUGGGAUGGGACUCCUUAUUUCAUCUGUCCUCUGAAGAAUGUGAAGCACAAGUCAGCGAUUUUUUGAAGAUCUCUUUAUUCAAGAACUCUUCUGGAUUAAUGUCUGAUUGAUAACCAUAUCAUUUACCAGUUUUUUGAAGAUCUCUUUAUUCAACAACUCUUCUGGAUUAACGUCUGAUUGAUAACCAUAUCAUUUACCAGCUUAUAUGCUUGCUUGUGAUGAUGAGAUCCAUGUUCUUUUGCAUCUGUGGAUGAUGUGAAAGGCUGUUUAGCCGCCAAACUACUGAAUCUUGUAAACGAUACAUAUUUCAUUAGCUCUGUAAAUUGCAAUAUGAGUAGUGUUUUACAGUUUUUAGGUAUACAGCAAGGGUGUUAAUAGUUGUGCAUAUAACAUACUUUGUGUUCAGGAAGGUAUGAGUAUCAGGGAUGGGUACAGGUACAGGUUUGCAGCUAGUCAGCAUUCCAAUGAAGUCUAGUGGUUUAUUUAGAAUCAUUUGUUCGUUCUUUUGAAAUGUGGAGCGUUAAAAGUUGCCCCAUUGUUUUACAUUAAUAUCCUUAUUUCAUCUUUUCUUUUA
Spinacia oleracea (spinach) is the source of this 3147-nucleotide long non-coding RNA. RefSeq lists it as uncharacterized. The record is from RefSeq and is a predicted model, not a curated record. NCBI's taxonomy places the organism in Eukaryota, Viridiplantae, Streptophyta, Magnoliopsida, Caryophyllales, Amaranthaceae. The transcript is spliced from 3 exons.